UUCUUGGAGAGUUUGAUCCUGGCUCAGGACGAACGCUGGCGGCGUGCCUAAUACAUGCAAGUCGAGCGAAUCAAAAGGUGCUUGCAC
This 87-nucleotide ribosomal RNA is filed under the name Neobacillus niacini. RNAcentral's name for it is "partial 16S ribosomal RNA". It matches the Rfam family "Bacterial small subunit ribosomal RNA", at positions 1 to 85 of the family's 1533-position model. The record is from RNAcentral. Lineage: Bacteria; Bacillati; Bacillota; Bacilli; Caryophanales; Bacillaceae.